This 404-nucleotide ribosomal RNA is filed under the name Actinomycetes bacterium. RNAcentral's name for it is "Actinobacteria bacterium partial 16S ribosomal RNA". It matches the Rfam family "Bacterial small subunit ribosomal RNA", at positions 355 to 776 of the family's 1533-position model. The record is from RNAcentral. Lineage: Bacteria; Bacillati; Actinomycetota; Actinomycetes.
UGGGGAAUAUUGGACAAUGGGCGCACGCCUGAUCCAGCCAUGCCGCGUGAGUGAUGAAGGCCCUAGGGUUGUAAAGCUCUUUCACCGGUGAAGAUAAUGACGGUAACCGGAGAAGAAGCCCCGGCUAACUUCGUGCCAGCAUCCGCGGUAAUACGAAGGGGGCUAGCGUUGUUCGGAUUUACUGGGCGUAAAGCGCACGUAGGCGGACUAUUAAGUCAGGGGUGAAAUCCCGGGGCUCAACCCCGGAACUGCCUUUGAUACUGGUAGUCUUGAGUUCGAGAGGGGUGAGUGGAAUUCCGAGUGUAGGGGUGAAAUUCGUAGAUAUUCGGAGGAACACCAGUGGCGAAGGCGGCUCACUGGCUCGAUACUGACGCUGAGGUGCGAAAGCGUGGGGGGCAAACAGG